AUUAAAGUUUCCAAGCAAGUCAAUACAUGCAAUAACAAAAAACUUUUGGGACAGAAGACACUGUUUAAAAAAACGUGACCAAAGAAAAGAAAAGGAAAUGUACUUGUAAUCGACACUGGAGAAAAAAUGGACUCUUCAGGUAAGAAGUUUUAUUCUGCAAUAACUUUUGUUUAAUAGUUAAUCUGUUUUUGAAUAAAAGAAUGUGUAAAGUAUAUUUUAGUGGGACAGCAUCCCAACAAACAAUAAAUCUGAAGAGAUAUCAAGUGGUAAAUAUUUUGCUUACUGAAAGUUAAUACCAAAUGUGCCAUGCUAUAAAUUAUCCUUCAAUCUGAAGAAGGUAUGAAUAUAUGCAACAGGAAUUUUACAGAAAAAAUCUGUCCUUUAUUAUGUCUAUAUGCUAGCCGCAAAUUUUUCACUGCAUUUGCAUAUCUAGUUAGGUUAGUACUUUUUCAUCUUUUUAAAAUUUUGUCUUGCAAAACAACACAUUGCAGGGAUAAAUAAAGUAAAUCUAACAAGUUUUCAUUUUAUCCAGUUUUUUUUCAUGUUUGCACAUUCUCUUUCCCAUACAAUGUUUUGGUGAAGUUAAAUAAUAGUAGUUUGUACACAUGUUGCCACUUGGAAAUAUAAAUGAUAUGGAAAAUAGCAUUGUGAGCUCUCUCAAGCCUAUGUGAGUUGUAGGAUUUUUAGAAAUUUUCAUCAUUUGUUCAUAAGUAGGAGGCCACUGACUGCCUAAGAGGGCGCCCGCUCCGGUCAUGCUUCAGUGAUUCCCUAUAUAAUCAACCAAAUUUUUACCUGGCCCCACUCUAAAUCCACCUUUGCUAAGACCAGUUAAAUAAUCAGCUUUGGUCAAUUAUGCAUUGAAAUUCUGUUAAAAAGGAAGGUGUUUGACUUUUUCUAGUUUAAAAAUUAAGUGCUAAGAAACUAUUUUUACAGGAAUUAAUAGUUCCCCUUUAAAAUGGAAAGUAUAAUGAAAAUUGCAUUGUCAAUCUCAAUCCUAUUGUUCAACUUCAUGUUUGUUUUUAUGAUUUUUUUUUAUCAAAUUCAAAGGUUAGUUUGGCAAGCCAAAGUCAUGGAUGAGUUCAAUAAAUGUUGCAGAUUAGCUUUUUUUGCAGGAGUUAAGCUGCUUUAGAAAACUGCAUUUGUUACUUAUUUCAAGUAUAAUAACUUGUUGAUUUUGCGCAUUUUUUUCAUAAGAAUGUUCAGUAUAUAUUUGCCUUUCGUGAACUUUUAACUUUCAGUUACAUUCAGUUCUUGUGAAAUUCAACAUCUCUUACAUAAACAUCACAAAUGUCUUUUUACUUAAUCACCUUUUUUAUGUUUACAGAAGAAAUUGUCACACGGAAAUGUAUCUUGGGCAAAUUAAAAAGGAGAAGUAACUCUGCUAGGAAGCAGUUCCAGUCAUUUGUAGCAACAGGACUGUGACGAAUAGAACUUUAAUAUAAACUGAAUCAAAAUAUAGAAUUUACCAAACUUGUGUCAGAUAAUACUCUCAUGCUUCUAUUGGAGGACAUCAAUGAUGAGAAGUAAAGGAAAAGACAAUAAAUGACAGCAUAUCAAAUAUCACAAUGUAUAUUUAGUCAGUUAACACAUUAAUUCAUCUACAUACUUUACAGCAUUUCAUUUUAACUAUGUGUAAAUUUUGUCUAUUCAAGCUUAACAAAAUGCUUUGAAAUUAAAAUAUUAAAUAUUUUAGGCAGACAUGUUUUUGUAAUUUUCAUUUAUUUUUCAAACUUUCAAGUUAUUACAUUCUUCAGUGGCGGAUCCAGCCAAAAGCCCAUUUUUCAAAGGGGUUUCCCAACCAAGGAUAAAGGAGGGGUUCCAAUCAUGUCUUUCAUUUAUAAAUUGUUAAUUUCCACUACAAAACUAAAAAAAAUAAGCCAAAGAUAA
This 1887-nucleotide long non-coding RNA is filed under the name Mytilus galloprovincialis (Mediterranean mussel). The record is from RNAcentral. Lineage: Eukaryota; Metazoa; Mollusca; Bivalvia; Mytilida; Mytilidae.